RNAcentral lists this ribosomal RNA (444 nucleotides) under uncultured bacterium. RNAcentral's name for it is "bacterial SSU rRNA". It matches the Rfam family "Bacterial small subunit ribosomal RNA", at positions 29 to 519 of the family's 1533-position model. The record is from RNAcentral.
AACGAACGCUGGCGGCAUGCCUAACACAUGCAAGUCGAACGAACCCUUCGGGGUGAGUGGCGCACGGGUGCGUAACGCGUGGGAACCUGCCCUUAGGUUCGGAAUAACAGUGAGAAAUCGCUGCUAAUACCGGAUAAUGUCUUCGGACCAAAGAUUUAUCGCCUUUGGAUGGGCCCGCGUUGGAUUAGCUAGUUGGUGGGGUAAAGGCUCACCAAGGCGACGAUCCAUAGCUGGUCUUAGAGGAUGAUCAGCCACACUGGGACUGAGACACGGCCCAGACUCCUACGGGAGGCAGCAGUGGGGAAUAUUGGACAAUGGGCGAAAGCCUGAUCCAGCAAUGCCGCGUGAGUGAUGAAGGCCUUAGGUUGUAAAGCUCUUUUACCAGGGAUGAUAAUGACAGUACCUGGAGAAUAAGCUCCGGCUAACUCCGUGCCAGCAGCCGCG